UGCAGUCGAACGGACUUAACCAUUAGUUUACUAUUGGAGCGGUUAGUGGCGGACUGGUGAGUAACACGUAAGCAACCUGCCUAUCAGAGGGGAACAACAGUUAGAAAUGACUGCUAAUACCGCAUAUGCCUAAGUACCACAUGGUACAAUAGGGAAAGGAGCAAUCCGCUGAUAGAUGGGCUUGCGUCUGAUUAGCUAGUUGGUGGGGUAAAGGCCUACCAAGGCGACGAUCAGUAGCCGGACUGAGAGGUUGAACGGCCACAUUGGGACUGAGAUACGGCCCAGACUCCUACGGGAGGCAGCAGUCGGGAAUAUUGCGCAAUGGAGGAAACUCUGACGCAGUGACGCCGCGUGCAGGAAGAAGGUUUUCGGAUUGUAAACUGCUUUAGACAGGGAAGAAACAAGACAGUACCUGUAGAAUAAGCUCCGGCUAACUACGUGCCAGCAGCCGCGGUAAUACGUAGGGAGCGAGCGUUAUCCGGAUUUAUUGGGUGUAAAGGGUGCGUAGACGGGAAGAUAAGUUAGUUGUGAAAUCCCUCGGCUUAACUGAGGAACUGCAACUAAAACUGUUUUUCUUGAGUACUGGAGAGGAAAGUGGAAUUCCUAGUGUAGCGGUGAAAUGCGUAGAUAUUAGGAGGAACACCGGUGGCGAAGGCGACUUUCUGGACAGAAACUGACGUUGAGGCACGAAAGUGUGGGGAGCAAACAGGAUUAGAUACCCUGGUAGUCCACACCGUAAACGAUGGAUACUAGGUGUAGGGGAUAAUAAAUUCUCUGUGCCGCCGCUAACGCAAUAAGUAUCCCACCUGGGGAGUACGGCCGCAAGGUUGAAACUCA
This 837-nucleotide ribosomal RNA is filed under the name uncultured bacterium. RNAcentral's name for it is "bacterial SSU rRNA". It matches the Rfam family "Bacterial small subunit ribosomal RNA", at positions 56 to 903 of the family's 1533-position model. The record is from RNAcentral.